GAAGGAAGGAAGGAAGGAAGGAAGGAAGGAAGGAAGGAAGGAAGGCAGGAAGGAAGGAAGGAAGGAUCCAGAAGGUAGGCAGACGAUGCAGGAGCUCCAGCUUCCCGCUCCAGCUUGGGCUCUCGAAAUCCUCACAGCGUUGGAGGACACGUCUCAGACCUCUGACUCGGCAAUCUCUGAGAGAAUGAAAAGAGUUUUGCUUGCGGUCUGUCCCUGGAAGCCUGGGGGGUCAGGACAAGGACAGCAUAUGCUCCCAAGCUGCAGCCUGGGAAGGCUAUAUCUGGGAAGCAGAACACUCCUGCCCGCAGAGACAGGACGGAGUGACGGCGUGGUGGAGAGGAGAGGGCUUCUGGCAGCAGAGGUUUGACAAAGCAUUUAACGACGUGAGGAGCCACAAGAGGAAUGUCACGUCGCAGGGAGAAUUUCCGACAGCUUCCCCCCCCCCCCCCCGCCCCAACCCCCUGUAUUUUGGGGUUGUCCCUCAGCACGCCCGGAGCCGAUGGCGAACGAGACGCCAGGUUAAGUGCAGGACGGUUGAGACGACAACUGUUAUGUCGGGGUUUAAUUUUGACAAAGCCUUAUUUAUGGGCGAGCUGCUGGCCCCGAGAUGAUUAUUUUUCAGGCACUACAAAACAAACCGGAGCAGCGGCCAGACAUGUAUUUACUGGAGGGGGAGGGGAAGGGGACUUGUUUGCUCUGUGUGUGUGUGCUGGCUGCAUGCUUUUUUAUUCCUGCCAUGUAAGAAUCCGGUUUCCAAAUAACAAUGGCAGGGAGGGUUUUGGGGUUGGGUUUUUAUUUUUUUUUUUCCUUUCUUCCUGGGUUGUUUUUGUUUCUUUUUCAAGAGACAAGGAAAACUCCUGAAGCAUCUGCUCUCGGGCGCACAUUCACAACACACACACAUCGAGUCCUCUGCUCCAGCACAAGUGGUUUAAAAGCUCCCCCCAAAACCCCUUUCCUCCUCUAUUUUAAUUUUUGUUUUAUUUAUUUAUUUGCAUUUUCUCCCAGCUGCGGUGACUUGAAUUUGAUUCUCCUCUCGCUCCCUUUAUCGAUCACGGGCUUCAUCUGCUUUAGCCGAAAAGGGGGAAGGGGCUGCAGGAUGCGCGAGUUCAUCCCUCCUUCUGCCACAACCUAAAAAA
This is a long non-coding RNA of Pezoporus flaviventris, 1136 nucleotides long. RefSeq lists it as uncharacterized. Lineage: Eukaryota; Metazoa; Chordata; Aves; Psittaciformes; Psittacidae. The transcript is spliced from 3 exons. The record is from RefSeq and is a predicted model, not a curated record.